AAGGCCUGCUGUAACCACUCCCUGGUACUGCCUGUGUUCACUCAAGGUCCCGGGGCUCUACAAUCAGCAAAAGGAGUUUUGCCCCAUAACCACCACAGCUGGUAACCUGAAGUCAGAAAGUCUCAGAGGCUCACCAAGGCCCUUGAUGUAGUACCUGGGAAUACCUGGGUCUCCUCACAUAGCAGGACAGCAUUGAAUUCAGAGCCUCACAAUUGCUGUGUUCUACUUCGCCUAGCAACCAGAGAUGAUCCCUGCAACAUGCUGCUGUUGCUGGGAGUGGGAAAGAGGUGGCAUCGGCGGUUCAAGACUGAGUUUUCUAUCUCUUCAGUGCCUCUUUCAACAAUGAAGAUCAAACCAGGUUUUGUGCAAAUAUCUGCUGAGUGAACUACUUAUUUGAAAAUACAUCAUUGGUUAAUAUUCCCUUUUGCUCAUUGAAAUCUCAAAGACUACAGACCCCGCACAAGACAUUCUGACAUUCCCGUCUUUGAAAUGAAUGACAGCAAUGAUAAAUAUGGCUCACCUCCAGAGAUACAGAUCUCACAACUUCAUAUUUUUAAUAUAAAUUAUUAAUCUGAGAAGCAGAGAGAGAUAAGACCCAUGAUAAUCAAGCCAUAAACAGAUGCAUUUACUAGCUGAAUGGCCAACAAUGGAAUUCAACAAAUCCAUCUUGAGCACGGCAGCCAGGAGUGUGGUGCAAUUCCAUUAGAUGAAAGAGAUCUACACAUUCAGAAGCACAUGAUUCUUCCCCCUUCCAUGAUUCCAGUGGCCAAUAGAAUGGAGUGUAGUGGCGUGAUCUUGGCUCACAACAACUUCUGCUUCCCACAUUCAAGCGAUCCUCCCACCUUAUACUCCUGAGUAGCUGGAACCACAGACAAACUACAAUAAAGCCAUGCCCUGACUGGAUGUGCCUAACAUUUGUCUGGUGCUUAAAGGAGUUGGCUGCAUGCGUGGGAUGGAGAAGGAUUCAACAUUUAAUGGCAGUUAGAAUCAAAUUUUUAACUCAAGAAGGCAGAAGGAAUCCACCUAAAUAAAUGUUGGAAAGUCACCAAAAAUAGUUCUCCAAGUCAGAAGCGGUGCAAAAGCUGCCUCAGCUCUUGGUGGAUUUUCAAUUUCUCCCAGCCAUCUCUGUUUCGCUAAAGGUUUCUGAAGACAGUGGGUAUGUGGCAAACUUCUGCAAUUCUAUAUUAAGAUAAACUGUUAGAUCAA
Long non-coding RNA from Homo sapiens (human), 1206 nucleotides. Ensembl annotates it as long intergenic non-protein coding RNA 1192. The record is from Ensembl. NCBI's taxonomy places the organism in Eukaryota, Metazoa, Chordata, Mammalia, Primates, Hominidae.